Molecule: ribosomal RNA, 253 nt
Filed under: uncultured bacterium
Lineage: Bacteria
Description: partial 16S ribosomal RNA
Rfam family: Bacterial small subunit ribosomal RNA
Source: RNAcentral
UACAGAGGUCUCAAGCGUUGUUCGGAUUCAUUGGGCGUAAAGGGUGUGUAGGUGGCGCGCUAAGUCGGGUGUGAAAUUUCGGAGCUUAACUCCGAAACUGCACUCGAUACUGGCGUGCUUGAGGACUGGAGAGGAGACUGGAAUUCAUGGUGUAGCAGUGAAAUGCGUAGAGAUCAUGAGGAAGACCAGUGGCGAAGGCGGGUCUCUGGACAGUUCCUGACACUGAGACACGAAGGCCAGGGGAGCAAACGGG